This 72-nucleotide transfer RNA is filed under the name Monodelphis domestica (gray short-tailed opossum). It matches the Rfam family "tRNA". From Rfam's summary of the family: Transfer RNA (tRNA) molecules are approximately 80 nucleotides in length. Their secondary structure includes four short double-helical elements and three loops (D, anti-codon, and T loops). The record is from Rfam by way of RNAcentral. Lineage: Eukaryota; Metazoa; Chordata; Mammalia; Didelphimorphia; Didelphidae.
AGAGGUAUGGUAUAUUGGGAGGAAAUACACUGGGUCUGAACUCAGAGGUCCUAGGUUCAAAUCCUAGCUCUA